UCUCUGGGUGACGAGCGGCGGACGGGUGAGUAAUGUCUGGGAAACUGCCUGAUGGAGGGGGAUAACUACUGGAAACGGUAGCUAAUACCGCAUAACGUCUUCGGACCAAAGUGGGGGACCUUCGGGCCUCACGCCAUCCGAUGUGCCCAGAUGGGAUUAGCUAGUAGGUGGGGUAAUGGCUCACCUAGGCGACGAUCCCUAGCUGGUCUGAGAGGAUGACCAGCCACACUGGAACUGAGACACGGUCCAGACUCCUACGGGAGGCAGCAGUGGGGAAUAUUGCACAAUGGGCGCAAGCCUGAUGCAGCCAUGCCGCGUGUGUGAAGAAGGCCUUCUGGUUGUAAAGCACUUUCAGCGAGGAGGAAGGGUGGUGUGUUAAUAGCGCAUCACAUUGACGUUACUCGCAGAAGAAGCACCGGCUAACUCCGUGCCAUCAACCGCGGUAAUACCGAGGGUGCAAGCGUUAAUCGCAAUUACUGGGCGUAAAGCGCACGCAGGCGGUUUGUUUAAGUCAGAUGUGAAAUCCCCGC
Molecule: ribosomal RNA, 530 nt
Filed under: uncultured bacterium
Lineage: Bacteria
Description: bacterial SSU rRNA
Rfam family: Bacterial small subunit ribosomal RNA
Source: RNAcentral